UACAGAGGGUGCAAGCGUUGCUCGGAAUUAUUGGGCGUAAAGGGUAGGUAGGUGGUCUUGUUUGUCUGGGGUGAAAGCCUUGAGCUUAACUCAAGAAGUGCCCCAGAAACGGCGAGACUCGAGUACUGGAGAGGGUCGUGGAAUUCCCGGUGUAGCGGUGAAAUGCGUAGAGAUCGGGAGGAACACCAGAGGCGAAGGCGGCGACCUGGACAGUAACUGACACUCAACUACGAAAGCGUGGGGAGCAAACAGG
This 253-nucleotide ribosomal RNA is filed under the name uncultured bacterium. RNAcentral's name for it is "partial 16S ribosomal RNA". It matches the Rfam family "Bacterial small subunit ribosomal RNA", at positions 524 to 776 of the family's 1533-position model. The record is from RNAcentral.